CCUACGGGAGGCAGCAGUGGGGAAUAUUGCACAAUGGGCGCAAGCCUGAUGCAGCGACGCCGCGUGAGGGAUGACGGCCUUCGGGUUGUAAACCUCUUUCAGUGGGGAAGAAGCGAAAGUGACGGUACCUGCAGAAGAAGCGCCGGCUAACUACGUGCCAGCAGCCGCGGUAAUACGUAGGGCGCAAGCGUUAUCCGGAAUUAUUGGGCGUAAAGAGCUCGUAGGCGGUUUGUCGCGUCUGCUGUGAAAGACCGGGGCUCAACUCCGGUUCUGCAGUGGGUACGGGCAGACUAGAGUGCAGUAGGGGAGACUGGAAUUCCUGGUGUAGCGGUGAAAUGCGCAGAUAUCAGGAGGAACACCGAUGGCGAAGGCAGGUCUCUGGGCUGUAACUGACGCUGAGGAGCGAAAGCAUGGGGAGCGAACAGGAUUAGAUACCCUGGUAGUCCAUGCCGUAAACGUUGGGCACUAGGUGUGGGGGACAUUCCACGUUUUCCGCGCCGUAGCUAACGCAUUAAGUGCCCCGCCUGGGGAGUACGGCCGCAAGGCUAAAACUCAAAUGAAUUGACGGCUGAGAGNGCGAGACGACGACGAGGGAGAGG
RNAcentral lists this ribosomal RNA (599 nucleotides) under uncultured bacterium. Its description in RNAcentral is "bacterial SSU rRNA". It matches the Rfam family "Bacterial small subunit ribosomal RNA", at positions 338 to 947 of the family's 1533-position model. The record is from RNAcentral.